Molecule: long non-coding RNA, 850 nt
Organism: Ceratina calcarata
Lineage: Eukaryota; Metazoa; Arthropoda; Insecta; Hymenoptera; Apidae
Exons: 3
Source: RefSeq, a predicted model, not a curated record
AUAUAUAUAUAUAUAUACAUAGAUACACAUAUAUAUGUACUUAUUUGCAAGUGAAAUAUGCAGUGAUCAAGGAUAACCUAUCCUAACCUUUAAAUUUUAUAUUUGUUUUAUAGUUUCCUUGCUUUGGUGUGGCUUGCUGUUUCGCAUGUAGUCUCUGUCAUCCCCGGCUAUUUUCUUCUGUCGGACAUCACGAAUUGAUAUCAGAAAAGCCGGCAUUUUCUAAAUUAUUCCGACGAAACUCUCAAGUAGUAAAGUAACAUAUAAUUGGCGCCAUAAAGUUUCCCACACAAACAAACAUUAUACAUCAACAAUUGGGUUCUCGAUGGCUCUGAACCUAGCCACAUCAGACAGGAAUGGACAGGAAAUGACAGUGCUCACACCCGGGAUUUCGUGAUUCCCGUACAGGUGCUGCGCCAAGAGGCCAACUCUGGAAAGAGUUUCAUCAUGCAGCAUAGACUAUCGAGGAGAAGGAACGACGGGCCAAUUCAACUCCAAAUUAAUUUCGAAGGCCUUGUGCAGAGAAACUGGAAAACUCCCAGUAAAAGAUCGACUGAUUCUUCUCUCUGCUAUUGCUCCAUGAAGAAACGUUAAUAUUCCGCGUCAACUAUAGUGCCUGUUCAAGGGAUCAACCUCGAACGACAUUCGUAGCUUUCGAUAACGUUGUGAAGUUAGCUUAUCGACUUCGAAGUUUAGUCAGUAAGCGACUAGCAAUCGGUCUAUUAUCAAUUGCCGACACAACUGUCUUCUGUAAAGCCUCCGAUAAUUACUCUUGCAAGUGGAUAGAACAGCAGUUUACUAACCGUCUCGCGCUAAUCAAGAAUGACAAGAAGACACGCUUGCGAAGCGAGUG